This 78-nucleotide small nucleolar RNA is filed under the name Kryptolebias marmoratus (mangrove rivulus). RNAcentral's name for it is "Small nucleolar RNA SNORD111 (ENSKMAG00000004194.1)". The record is from RNAcentral. Lineage: Eukaryota; Metazoa; Chordata; Actinopteri; Cyprinodontiformes; Rivulidae.
GGCUGAGUAAUGAUGAGCUUUUCAUGUCUCUUCUCUGACUAACACCUGAAGAGUCUGUCAAACAUUCUGAUUUCAGCC